This 2102-nucleotide long non-coding RNA is filed under the name Macaca mulatta (Rhesus monkey). Its description in RNAcentral is "lncRNA (ENSMMUG00000046173.2)". The record is from RNAcentral. Lineage: Eukaryota; Metazoa; Chordata; Mammalia; Primates; Cercopithecidae.
AGAAGGGCUCGCUCUCCCUCUCGGGCGGCUGUACCGUUGUGGGCUACGUUCAGAGAAGUCUCACAAUUGCCAUGAGCAGGGACAUAAUAGAGUUUAAAGGCCGCCGUAUUUCCUAAGUUUUAAAACAGUUUGCUUCGACGCUGUUGUUUAUGACAACCGCAUGGCAACACCAGGCACAAUCUAAUGUAGGUUCCAAUUCUUCCCCUCUUUCUCUACCCCCGUUUUCCCCGUUUUCCCCCUUUUCCCAGUGUGGGACACACCCAGGUGUGGUCUUCAAUGGGGACUGGUUUUAUGGGGAUGGACCAUUCAGUACGGAUUGAUUUAUUUAAGAACCGCUUGUUUAAAUAAGUGGUUGUUCAGAGUCAGAGAGGAAUGUUUCAGAAGACAGUUGCAUACAGCAAGGUGGAUUCGUGUUACACUGAUCUUAUUCACAUUCAGAGGGCGUGAUACACAUUUCAUUCUUUUCGAAGUUCACGGUUGCUGAAAAAAAUUUGGGAACUCUGCCACGUUUUCCGAAUUAUUAUUUCCCUUUUGGCUGCCUGACCUUGGAAUUCAAUAAACCUACUAUUAAUGAAAGUUCUGUGACUGUGAAGAUAAAUCAGAAUAGUUCCUGCCCUCAAAAAAUUCACACAUCAGCUUUGAAAGAGACACAGAUACAAGAAACUAGACUGAUAAUGGUAACUGAAGGAGAAGACCACUUUGUACCAGUUUAUGAUGAUCUACUUGGUGCCUGAUAACCUCUACACCAUGUCCCUUAUCCACAUGAUAUUCUUUGCUACUUCUUCAAAGCCAGGCAUGGAGUUCUGGAACUCUGCGGGUGUGAGCUUGGAAUCCAAUGUGCCUGAGGACGGGCCUCGCCACCUGUGUGCUUUGUUUACUAUCUGGGCUUCUGCCCCAGUUCCUGUUCACCCUUUCCAUUCUCCCUCCUGGAACUGGAGUUCUGCCCUGAACCCCAGUUUACUUGGCUGGAGUCCACAUAUAGUUUUUCACCCUUGCCAGCUCUCUCUCUGGGACUGUGGGUAAGAGCCUUUCUCCCAGCUGCUGGGCGGGCUUCUGAUCUAAACAGGAUGGAUCAUUGAAACCUGCCACAGAUGCUGCUACUUUUUUGUCUUGCUUGCUACAAAGGAUGGACAAGAAACUCAAAUGAAAUCAAGUUUGUGAAGUAGUUUGUAAAGUGUAACAUGUCCAUUAUGGUGGUUUAACUUACAGAGAAAGUUCGAGCCCUUACUGGUAUUGCACAUGAAAGCCCCACUGUAAAGUGCCCCAGAUUCCUCGUUUCUGCUCAUGCCUAGUGAUAUAUGAUGCUGAAAAUGAUGUGGAAAAUGUCCAAAUGUUCUUGAAUUUUGAUUAGUACAUUCUGCCGCACUGGUUAUUGCAUUAUGGAUGGAGACGGGAGAAUUGCUUGAACCCGGGAGACAGUGGUUGCAGUGAGCCGACAUCACACCACUGCACUUCAGCCUGGGUGGCUGAGCGAGACUCUGUCUCAAAAAAAAAAAAAUUGUAAUUUUAUGAACCAGGACAUACCUUUUCACAACUGAAACCAAAGUCUCACGAACUGUCUUAUCCUAAGUAUGUGUAAUGCACUCUAUUUUCUAUUUUAUUUCAUUUUUUAAAAAAUUGGUCAACCCAUCAGAUUAAUUUUGUAACUCACUAAUGGAUUGUUACCUGCAUUUUCCCAGACACUGAUAUGCACUAUCUAAUGAGAUUCCCUAUAUUAACCAACUGAUUGGGACAAUUGUUAAAUGUUUACCUCAUUUGGUGCUAGGGCCAUAGGAAUCACCCUGCCCACUAAAGGAGUGAGGCUACCUCACUGAGGUAAGUCACAGUUGUUCCCACUGCUAAGAUCAGAAAGUGCAGUACUGCAGCCAGACUUUCAAAGCUACCUGAGAUUAAUAUAUAUAAUUCCUGGCUGGGCCAUUUUUAAAAAGGGAUAGCUGUAAAAUUACCACAACUACAUUUAUCUUAGAGGGAUAUUGUUUGGAGGCAACUCUUUCUUAGACUGUUUAAAUCAUUCCUGGUUAGGUUAAAGAGACUUUUAGGUUUCUGAGGUUUCAUGUCAAUUUCAGAGAUAAGAAAAUAUAAAAUAAAAGCUCACUCACUGC